Molecule: unclassified non-coding RNA, 1686 nt
Filed under: Hevea brasiliensis (rubber tree)
Lineage: Eukaryota; Viridiplantae; Streptophyta; Magnoliopsida; Malpighiales; Euphorbiaceae
Source: RNAcentral
AGUUGAGGAAGGUGAAGAUGAUGAGGAAAUUAAUUUGACACAAAUACGAUCCUUGACAUUGGAUAAUCUACCUCAACUUACAAGCUUUUGUUCCCAAGGCCAAGGGAGGGUGUGUUCUGCAUCCCAAAGAACGCAAAAGGAAGCAGCAGUUGCUACAAGCUCUAAAGAAAUUGUAUGCGAGGACAAGAAUGAAGCUCCGUUGCCACUUUUCAGCAAAAAGAUUGGAUUCCCUAAUUUGGAAGAUAUCAAAUUGUCUGGGAUUAAUGUGAAAAUGAUAUGGCCUAAUCAACAUAUAGAAUCACAUCUAUAUAUUGAAAAAUUAACAACCUUGAUUGUGGAUGGCUGUGGGAAUCUAAACUAUCUAUUCACAUCCUCUAUUGUUGGAAGUCUCGCACAACUCAAAACACUUGAGAUAUGUGAGUGCAAAUCCAUGGAAGAAGUAAUAAUUGCAGAAGGAGAAGGUGAAAUGAUGAGCAAAAUGCUAUUCCCUAAACUACACUCGCUGAAGCUCAAAGGUCUUCCCAGAAUUGUAAGAUUUUGCACAGCUAACUUAAUUGAAUGUCCCUCCUUGAAAGUGCUGCGGGUAGAUAACUGCCCUCAUCUACAUGCUUUUCUCUCUACUUGCACAAGCAAAAAUGUGGGAACUAGCAGCGGAGUUACACAAGCGAACGCAACUCUCUUUGAUGAAAAGGUGUGGUUUCCUAAUUUGGAGGAAUUGUAUAUUAUGCACAUGCAUAGGUUGGAGAUGAUAUGGUGUGAUGAACUCCUAGCAGAUUCCUUUUCUAGAUUGAAAGUGCUACAAGUACAAUAUGGGAAACAACUACUGAAAAUUUUUCCAUCUAAGUUGUUGGGUCGAUUCCUUCAAAAUCUAGAAUUAUUGGUUGUAAAGAAUUGUGAUUCAGUGGAAGAGGUGUUUGAUCUCCGGGCAUUAGUAAGAGUAAGCGAAGCACCUGUUGUGGAGCGCAGUCAAUUGAGAAUUUUGGACAUAGGGGACCUUCCAAAUCUGAAGCAAGUAUGGAAUAUGGAUCCUCAUGGGAUUCUCUCCUUCUAUAACCUACGCCUAGUGUAUGCUUGGAAUUGUCCAAAGUUGAAAAGCCUCUUCCCAUUUUCAAUAGCUCUAGGUCUACCACAUCUUGAAUUGCUUAGCAUAAAUGGAUGUGGGAUGGAGGAAGUCGUUGCUAAGGAGGAAAGCGUAGAGGCAAUUACUAUUAAUCCUAAGUUUGUGUUUCGUGGACUAAAGGCCUUGGUCCUUCGUCAAUUAAAAGAAUUGAGGUGUUUUUAUUCAGAAAAACACAGUUUAGAAUGUACACAGCUAAAACAUUUACGCGUGUGUGGAUGUGAAAAAUUGAAAACUUUCAAUUCAGAAUCUCAAGAAAUGCAAGAAAUACUUAUGGAUGGGCAAGAGAGCCAAUUGAAGAUUCAAGUUCCGCAGCCCCUUUUCGCAUUUAGAGAGAUUGUUGGCAAUUUGGAGCAAUUAGCGCUAAACAACGAGGACAUUGCAAUGAUACAGCAAAGCCACUUUCCAAUAGAUCUCUUUUUCAAACUAAAAAUUCUCCUUCUGCAAAGCUUUUAUGAUGCUUCAGUGAAUUUGCCUUUUAAUAUUCUUUCAAAAUUCCCAAAUUUGGAAAAGCUUGUUUUAGACAGCUGUUAUUUCAGAGAGUUACUCCCACAUGGUGUUGUUGGUGA